This 72-nucleotide transfer RNA is filed under the name Ameiurus brunneus (snail bullhead). RNAcentral's name for it is "tRNA-Thr". It matches the Rfam family "tRNA". From Rfam's summary of the family: Transfer RNA (tRNA) molecules are approximately 80 nucleotides in length. Their secondary structure includes four short double-helical elements and three loops (D, anti-codon, and T loops). Further hydrogen bonds mediate the characteristic L-shaped molecular structure. tRNAs have two regions of fundamental functional importance: the anti-codon, which is responsible for specific mRNA codon recognition, and the 3' end, to which the tRNAs corresponding amino acid is attached (by aminoacyl-tRNA synthetases). tRNAs cope with the degeneracy of the genetic code in two manners: having more than one tRNA (with a specific anti-codon) for a particular amino acid; and 'wobble' base-pairing, i.e. permitting non-standard base-pairing at the 3rd anti-codon position. Lineage: Eukaryota; Metazoa; Chordata; Actinopteri; Siluriformes; Ictaluridae. The record is from RNAcentral.
GCUCUAGUAGCUUAAUCACAAAGCACCGGUCUUGUAAUCCGGAGAUUGAGGGCUAAAUCCCCCCCUAGUGCC